RNAcentral lists this ribosomal RNA (497 nucleotides) under uncultured bacterium. RNAcentral's name for it is "partial 16S ribosomal RNA". It matches the Rfam family "Bacterial small subunit ribosomal RNA", at positions 28 to 507 of the family's 1533-position model. The record is from RNAcentral.
GAUGAACGCUGGCGGCGUGCCUAAUACAUGCAAGUCGAGCGAACAGACGAGGAGCUUGCUCCUCUGACGUUAGCGGCGGACGGGUGAGUAACACGUGGAUAACCUACCUAUAAGACUGGGAUAACUUCGGGAAACCGGAGCUAAUACCGGAUAAUAUAUUGAACCGCAUGGUUCAAUAGUGAAAGACGGUUUUGCUGUCACUUAUAGAUGGAUCCGCGCCGCAUUAGCUAGUUGGUAAGGUAACGGCUUACCAAGGCGACGAUGCGUAGCCGACCUGAGAGGGUGAUCGGCGAUACUGGAACUGAGACACGGUCCAGACUCCUACGGGAGGCAGAAGUAGGGAAUCUUCCGCAAUGGGCGAAAGCCUGACGGAGCAACGCCGCGUGAGUGAUGAAGGUCUUCGGAUCGUAAAACUCUGUUAUUAGGGAAGAACAAAUGUGUAAGUAACUAUGCACGUCUUGACGGUACCUAAUCAGAAAGCCACGGCUAACUACGUG